Molecule: ribosomal RNA, 429 nt
Filed under: Chloroflexota bacterium
Lineage: Bacteria; Bacillati; Chloroflexota
Description: Chloroflexi bacterium partial 16S ribosomal RNA
Rfam family: Bacterial small subunit ribosomal RNA
Source: RNAcentral
UGGGGAAUAUUGCACAAUGGGCGCAAGCCUGAUGCAGCCAUGCCGCGUGUAUGAAGAAGGCCUUCGGGUUGUAAAGUACUUUCAGCGGGGAGGAAGGGAGUAAAGUUAAUACCUUUGCUCAUUGACGUUACCCGCAGAAGAAGCACCGGCUAACUCCGUGCCAGCAGCCGCGGUAAUACGGAGGGUGCAAGCGUUAAUCGGAAUUACUGGGCGUAAAGCGCACGCAGGCGGUUUGUUAAGUCAGAUGUGAAAUCCCCGGGCUCAACCUGGGAGCAGCAUCUGAUACCGGGAAGAUUGAGUGUAGUAGAGAGGUGUAGAAUUCCAGGUGUGUAGGUGAAAUGCGUAGAGAUCUGGAGGAAUACCGGUGGCGAAGGCGGCCCCCUGGACGACGACUGACGCUCAGGUGCGAAAGCGUGGGGAGCAAACAGG